This is a long non-coding RNA of Perca fluviatilis (European perch), 527 nucleotides long. RefSeq lists it as uncharacterized. The record is from RefSeq and is a predicted model, not a curated record. NCBI's taxonomy places the organism in Eukaryota, Metazoa, Chordata, Actinopteri, Perciformes, Percidae. The transcript has 3 exons.
CUGUAGAUUAACUCCACGUGGACUCUCACGGAGCAGUCCUCCAGCACAGACACACAGCUCAGAGUCUAACAACAAGCUGAGAAUCAAACAGCAGGAAAACGGCUGGUUUCUAUUCCUCUGGAGGAUUAUUUUCUGGGAGAUUUUUCCUGCGUAUUUUCCUUUUUAGUUUAAGUUUAGUAGAAUAAUUUGGGUCCAGACUUCCUUCAGGACUCAGAACCCGAGCCCAAGUCCACACCAAGUUUAAGUUUAGUAGAAUAAUUCGGGUCCAGACUUCCUUCAGGACCGGAGACCGGCAGCUCGGGGUUGUUUUGGUGCAGCCGCCAGCUGCAGCAAUGGCUGAUGGGAAACGGCGAAGCGGCGCGGGGUCGCCUCCGGACGGGGGGUGGGGCUGGGUGAUCGUCGGCUGCUGCUUCAUGGUGACGGUCUGCACACGGGCAGUAACCAGGUGCAUCUCCAUCUUCUUCGUGGAGUUCCAGGCGUAUUUCGGAGCCGACUACUCAGCGACCGCGUGGAUCCACAGCCUGGUG